GAUUCCCCUAGUAACUGCGAGUGAAGCGGGAAAAGCUCAAAUUUGAAAUCUGGCAGUCUAUUUUUUCUUCUUUGGCUGUCCGAGUUGUAAUCUAGAGAAGUGCUUACCUGCACUGGACCAUGUAUAAGUCUCCUGGAAUGGAGCGUCGCAGAGGGUGAGAAUCCCGUCUUUGACAUGGACUGCCAGUGUGUUGUGGUGUGCUCUCAAAGAGUCGAGUUGUUUGGGAAUGCAGCUCUAAAUGGGUGGUAAACUCCAUCUAAAGCUAAAUAUUGGCGAGAGACCGAUAGCGAACAAGUACCGUGAGGGAAAGAUGAAAAGGACUUUGGAAAGAGAGUUAAACAGUAUGUGAAAUUGUUGAAAGGGAAACGCUUGAAGUCAGUUAUGUUGGCUAGGGAUCAACCUAGCUGUCUUUUGCUGGGUGAAUUUCCUAGUCUGACAGGCCAACAUCAGUCUUGACCGCUGGAAAAGAGCAGAGGGAAUGUGGCACCUUCGGGUGUGUUAUAGCCCUUUGUCAUAUGUGGCGGUUGGGACUGAGGGAUGCAGCGUGCCGCGAGGCUGGGUUUCGACCACGUUCACGCUUAGGAUGUUGGCUUUUAAUGGCUUCAAUCGACCCGUCUUGAAACACGGACCAAGGAGUCUAACAUGCCUGCAAGUGUUUGGGUGGAAAACCCUUGCGCACAAUGAAAGUGAAAGUUGAGAUCCCUGUCAUGGGGAGCAUCGACGCCCGGACUUGAGCUUUUAGCGACGGAUCCGCGGUAGAGCAUGCAUGUUGGGACCCGAAAGAUGGUGAACUAUGCCUGAAUAGGGCAAAGCCAGAGGAAACUCUGGUGGAGGCUCGUAGCGAUUCUGACGUGCAAAUCGAUCGUCAAAUUUGGGUAUAG
This 881-nucleotide ribosomal RNA is filed under the name Amanita fulva. Its description in RNAcentral is "partial large subunit ribosomal RNA". It matches the Rfam family "Eukaryotic large subunit ribosomal RNA", at positions 73 to 920 of the family's 3401-position model. The record is from RNAcentral. Lineage: Eukaryota; Fungi; Basidiomycota; Agaricomycetes; Agaricales; Amanitaceae.